AAUCUUAUAUUCAAAAUAAAUGAUAUUAAAUUGCAAAUUUAAAGGUAUAAAAAUUUAUUAAGAUUU
Molecule: transfer RNA, 66 nt
Filed under: Greenidea psidii
Lineage: Eukaryota; Metazoa; Arthropoda; Insecta; Hemiptera; Aphididae
Also listed under: 1 other name
Description: tRNA-Cys
Source: RNAcentral